GGAGGGUCAUUGGAAACUGGGGAACUUGAGUGCAGAAGAGGAGAGUGGAAUUCCACGUGUAGCGGUGAAAUGCGUAGAGAUGUGGAGGAACACCAGUGGCGAAGGCGACUCUCUGGUCUGUAACUGACGCUGAGGAGCGAAAGCGUGGGGAGCGAACAGGAUUAGAUACCCUGGUAGUCCACGCCGUAAACGAUGAGUGCUAAGUGUUAGGGGGUUUCCGCCCCUUAGUGCUGCAGCUAACGCAUUAAGCACUCCGCCUGGGGAGUACGGUCGCAAGACUGAAACUCAAAGGAAUUGACGGGGGCCCGCACAAGCGGUGGAGCAUGUGGUUUAAUUCGAAGCAACGCGAAGAACCUUACCAGGUCUUGACAUCCUCUGACAAUCCUAGAGAUAGGACGUCCCCUUCGGGGGCAGAGUGACAGGUGGUGCAUGGUUGUCGUCAGCUCGUGUCGUGAGAUGUUGGGUUAAGUCCCGCAACGAGCGCAACCCUUGAUCUUAGUUGCCAGCAUUCAGUUGGGCACUCUAAGGUGACUGCCGGUGACAAACCGGAGGAAGGUGGGGAUGACGUCAAAUCAUCAUGCCCCUUAUGACCUGGGCUACACACGUGCUACAAUGGACAGAACAAAGGGCAGCGAAACCGCGAGGUUAAGCCAAUCCCACAAAUCUGUUCUCAGUUCGGAUCGCAGUCUGCAACUCGACUGCGUGAAGCUGGAAUCGCUAGUAAUCGCGGAUCAGCAUGCCGCGGUGAAUACGUUCCCG
This 759-nucleotide ribosomal RNA is filed under the name Bacillus subtilis. Its description in RNAcentral is "bacterial SSU rRNA". It matches the Rfam family "Bacterial small subunit ribosomal RNA", at positions 617 to 1376 of the family's 1533-position model. Lineage: Bacteria; Bacillati; Bacillota; Bacilli; Caryophanales; Bacillaceae. The record is from RNAcentral.